Molecule: non-coding RNA, 23 nt
Filed under: Mus musculus (house mouse)
Lineage: Eukaryota; Metazoa; Chordata; Mammalia; Rodentia; Muridae
Also listed under: 1 other name
Source: RNAcentral
UCCCUUUCUGAGGUGCUGGGACU